Molecule: long non-coding RNA, 383 nt
Filed under: Triticum aestivum (bread wheat)
Lineage: Eukaryota; Viridiplantae; Streptophyta; Magnoliopsida; Poales; Poaceae
Description: long non-coding RNA (TAES_LNC020456)
Source: RNAcentral
ACCUCAGCGACCCGCUGCACACCACCAUCUUCGACACCUUGGGCUCCUCUUAAGUGGUCGGUGGUCGAGCAAUUUCUGUCAGCUCGGCUGCAAAAUGGACGAACGCGCGUCCGUGUAACGAACGUGCUUUUCGUUUUGUAUAUGACGAGUGAUGGAUGAGAGGGUAUCGCAAAGAUCCUUUGUUGAGUAAUGCAGGUCUGAUCACAUAGGAGAGCUGCUGGGACUUGGUGAUUUGUAAAAUAUGAACCAAUGGUGACUUAAUGCAUCCACUUGUACAUCAAUCUUGAGCUCAUCUUUUGUUUCGUUUUUUCGAUUACAAAGAUAGCAUCCACGCAAGUGCAAUCACACUACAGAAUUGACCGGGACCGCCCUGCCACACUGCC